RNAcentral lists this ribosomal RNA (445 nucleotides) under uncultured bacterium. Its description in RNAcentral is "partial 16S ribosomal RNA". It matches the Rfam family "Bacterial small subunit ribosomal RNA", at positions 354 to 796 of the family's 1533-position model. The record is from RNAcentral.
GUGAGGAAUAUUGGUCAAUGGGCGGGAGCCUGAACCAGCCAAGUCGCGUGAAGGAAGAAGGAUCUAUGGUUCGUAAACUUCUUUUGCAGGGGAAUAAAGUGCUGGACGUGUCCUGUUUUGUAUGUACCCUGAGAAUAAGGAUCGGCUAACUCCGUGCCAGCAUCCGCGGUAAUACGGAGGAUCCGAGCUUUAUCCGGAUUUAUUGGGUUUAAAUGGUGCGUAGGUGGUGUGAUAAGUCAGCGGUGAAAGUUUGCAGCUUAACUGUAAAAAUGCCGUUGAAACUGACGGACUUGAGUGUAAAUGAGGUAGGCGGAAUGCGUGGUGUAGCGGUGAAAUGCAUAGAUAUCACGCAGAACUCCGAUGGCGAAGGCAGCUUACUAAGCUACAACUGACACUGAAGCACGAAAGCGUGGGGAUCAAACAGGAUUAGAUACCCUAGUAGUCC